GAUGAACGCUGGCUGCGUGCUUAACACAUGCAAGUCGAACGGAAAGGCCCCUUCUGGGGUCCUCGAGUGGCGAACAGGUGCGUAACACGUGAUUAACCUGCCCUUGACUUCGGGUUAACUUCAGGUAACUGGGCCUAAUACCGGAUAGUACUCCUUGCUGUCUGUUGGGGGUUUCAAAUCUUCGGCGGGUGUGGGUGGACUCGCGGCUUAUCUGCUUGUUGUUGGGGUAGUGGCUUACCAAGGCGUUGACGGGUAGCCGGCCUGAGAGGGGGACCGGACACACUGGGAAUGAGACUAGGCGCAGAAGCAGACGGGAGGAAUCAGUGGGGAACGUAGGACAAUGGGAGCAAGCCUGAGGCAACAACGACGCGUGUAGGAGGAGGGAAUUGGGGUUGUGAGCCGAUUUAGGCAGAGGCGAGGCUUGUGGUGAAGGUACCGGAAGAAGAAGCACCGGCUAACUACGUG
This 465-nucleotide ribosomal RNA is filed under the name uncultured bacterium. RNAcentral describes it as "partial 16S ribosomal RNA". It matches the Rfam family "Bacterial small subunit ribosomal RNA", at positions 28 to 507 of the family's 1533-position model. The record is from RNAcentral.